UCAACGCGGCAACAGCCAGGAUGAGGAAGUAGAUGACACCAAUGGGAUUUUAAAAUACAAGUACUUUCAUGAAAGGAGUACGUCUCUUUAUGUGAUGUAACGAGAAUAUCAACUUCAAUCAGUGUUGUUCUCGAUGGAUAAUCGACUGACCUUAGUAGUAGACUUCAUACCUGAUCUUUCUUUAUUUGUGUCUUGUUAUCAACAGGUAAGGCUUACAUAACGUUCAGCUCAUUCAUAAAAUACGACAUGAUUAUGGAAGCACAACGGCGCUUGUGCAGAUAAGAAAAUUGAAAAUGUAAUUGGGGAAGUUUCUCCGAGGAAGGGUCAUGAAUGAGAUGACGAAGUUCUACAAAUAUAUUGCAGAGAAACUAGGGGUUUUCUGGAUAUUUCACAUUGCUAGCAUAACAGCUGCGUUGCCAAGUUGUGAUGACGUCAUCAGUGUCAUCAUACCUUCGUCUUACUCUGUACGCACUGGACACAGUGUAACACUGCAGUGUUCAUUUACUCCUGCUGCUGUGGUGUACCAAGUGAAGUGGUCAUGG
Long non-coding RNA from Lingula anatina, 542 nucleotides. The record is from RefSeq and is a predicted model, not a curated record. Lineage: Eukaryota; Metazoa; Brachiopoda; Lingulata; Lingulida; Lingulidae.